Molecule: non-coding RNA, 45 nt
Filed under: Schistosoma mansoni
Lineage: Eukaryota; Metazoa; Platyhelminthes; Trematoda; Strigeidida; Schistosomatidae
Source: RNAcentral
AUCUGGAUGACGAGUCCCAAAUAAGACGAAACUCGUGUCUAGGAU